GCGGUAGGCGAGCAUUCUCUGUGCGGUGAAGGCGUACGGUAACGAGCGUUGGAGCGCAGAGAAGAGCUGAUGUUGGCGUGAGUAGCGAUAAAGAGAGUGAAAAACUCUCUCGCCGUAAACCCAAGGGUUCCUGGGUAAAGAUAAUCUGCUCAGGGUUAGUCGGUCCCUAAGGCGAGGCCGAAAGGCGUAGUCGAUGGGAAGCAGGCGAACAUUCCUGCACCGGCACGGAUGGUUCCACGAGGAGGGACGGAGGAGGAUAGUCGAGCACCCUAGAGGAUGGGUGUUCAAGCCAGUAGGCUGGGUGCGUAGGAGGCGAUGGCCACAAACGCGCGCCCGAGGCCGAGAGGUGAUGAGGUUGGCUCUCCGGAGCCAAUAACUCGAUGAUUCCAAGCUUCCAGGAAAAGCUUCGCGUGGGUUAACCGCUGUGCCGACCGUACCCAAACCGACACAGGUGGGUGGGAGAAGAUCCCAAGGCGCUCGAGAGAACUCGGGUUAAGGAACUCGGCAAAAUCACACCGUAACUUAGGGAGAAGGUGUACCCC
RNAcentral lists this ribosomal RNA (542 nucleotides) under uncultured bacterium. RNAcentral's name for it is "bacterial LSU rRNA". It matches the Rfam family "Bacterial large subunit ribosomal RNA", at positions 1225 to 1754 of the family's 2925-position model. The record is from RNAcentral.